Molecule: long non-coding RNA, 920 nt
Filed under: Linum usitatissimum (flax)
Lineage: Eukaryota; Viridiplantae; Streptophyta; Magnoliopsida; Malpighiales; Linaceae
Description: long non-coding RNA (LUSI_LNC007772)
Source: RNAcentral
UAGUGGUGUUUUAUUUUACAGCAAUCCAGGUUCCAGACAAUGUCCGACUCCAUCAUCACAAAGAAUAUCCUUAUCAACUUCCAUUCCUCAUUCUUAAUUUCUGAAAUCUGAAUGAAUUGUCUGGGAAGAUCUGUUUUGGCUGUGCAUGAUCACAAAGAAGUGUGUUUUUGCCUUUUGGGUCAGUCUUAUUGCAAUUCAUGCUUCUUGUAGUCAAUCUAAUAAGUUCAGUUUUUUAUAUCGGGCAAACCCUAGGUGAUUGGAACUACAAUUGACAAAUCAGUUUGGAUGUUAUUACAUCAGGGACAUAAAGUUGUCUGGUUGAUAUGAAUAUGUCUUAUGUUGUAGCACAAACUGUGGUCAGUUGUUCAGAUUAGGCAGAAUACGACAUGAUGAAGUCCAGUUAUUGCCAAUUGUGUCAAUAUUACUUAGUUUCCUUGACUGGAAUGCACUUGACGACAUGGGAGGCAGGAUAGACGAGCUAGAGAGGAGCAUCAACGAUCUCCGAGCCGAGAUGGGUGUGGAAGGAUCUCCAUCUCCUUCAACACCCACCAAGGUAAAGGACGAAACCAAGCCCGUAGAUGAGUCAGCCUGAGAGACCUCGACGGAGAAAGUGUGACAGUGGGAACAAACUGGUGUUGAACUGAACAAGAGUGUUUUCUUUGUUUGCUUUUGUGAGUCCACUAGACUACAACUUUUCCGGGAACAUGUGACGAACGAACACCCAUCUUUCCUUGCUUCCGCCAUUUUUUUAUCCUCUUCUGAUCAGGAAUGGGGAAACCAUUGGACAUGAACUCCGGGUUUACUGUUUAGGUUACAUGUGAGCUGUAACUCAUUAAUUCAGCGUGGUUGUUAAAUGUUUACGUCCCUUUCUUGCAGCAUCCAGCAAUUAUUUAUAACUUAGCUUACUUACAAUUGGCUCA